Molecule: ribosomal RNA, 253 nt
Filed under: uncultured Eubacteriales bacterium
Lineage: Bacteria; Bacillati; Bacillota; Clostridia; Eubacteriales
Description: uncultured Clostridiales bacterium partial 16S ribosomal RNA
Rfam family: Bacterial small subunit ribosomal RNA
Source: RNAcentral
UACGUAGGGGGCAAGCGUUAUCCGGAUUUACUGGGUGUAAAGGGGGCGCAGACGGCGAUGCAAGCCAGGAGUGAAAGCCCGGGGCCCAACCCCGGGACUGCUCUUGGAACUGCGUGGCUGGAGUGCAGGAGGGGCAGGCGGAAUUCCUGGUGUAGCGGUGAAAUGCGUAGAUAUCAGGAGGAACACCGGUGGCGAAGGCGGUUUACUGGACCACAACUGACGCUGAGACACGAAAGCGUGGGUAUCGAACAGG